UACGGAGGGGGCUAGCGUUGUUCGGAAUUACUGGGCGUAAAGCGCACGUAGGCGGACUGGAAAGUCAGAGGUGAAAUCCCAGGGCUCAACCUUGGAACUGCCUUUGAAACUCCCGGUCUUGAGGUCGAGAGAGGUGAGUGGAAUUCCGAGUGUAGAGGUGAAAUUCGUAGAGAUUCGGAGGAACACCAGUGGCGAAGGCGGCUCACUGGCUCGAUACUGACGCUGAGGUGCGAAAGAGUGGGGAGCAAACAGG
RNAcentral lists this ribosomal RNA (253 nucleotides) under uncultured bacterium. Its description in RNAcentral is "partial 16S ribosomal RNA". It matches the Rfam family "Bacterial small subunit ribosomal RNA", at positions 524 to 776 of the family's 1533-position model. The record is from RNAcentral.